RNAcentral lists this ribosomal RNA (465 nucleotides) under Vreelandella stevensii. Its description in RNAcentral is "partial 16S ribosomal RNA". It matches the Rfam family "Bacterial small subunit ribosomal RNA", at positions 338 to 795 of the family's 1533-position model. The record is from RNAcentral. Lineage: Bacteria; Pseudomonadati; Pseudomonadota; Gammaproteobacteria; Oceanospirillales; Halomonadaceae.
CCUACGGGUGGCAGCAGUGGGGAAUAUUGGACAAUGGGCGAAAGCCUGAUUCAGCCAUGCCGCGUGUGUGAAGAAGGCCUUCGGGUUGUAAAGCACUUUCAGUGGGGAAGAAAGCCUUGGGGCUAAUACCCUCGAGGAAGGACAUCACCCACAGAAGAAGCACCGGCUAACUCCGUGCCAGCAGCCGCGGUAAUACGGAGGGUGCGAGCGUUAAUCGGAAUUACUGGGCGUAAAGCGCGCGUAGGCGGUCUGAUAAGCCGGUUGUGAAAGCCCCGGGCUCAACCUGGGAACGGCAUCCGGAACUGUCAGGCUAGAGUGCAGGAGAGGAAGGUAGAAUUCCCGGUGUAGCGGUGAAAUGCGUAGAGAUCGGGAGGAAUACCAGUGGCGAAGGCGGCCUUCUGGACUGACACUGACGCUGAGGUGCGAAAGCGUGGGUAGCAAACAGGAUUAGAUACCCUAGUAGUC